Molecule: long non-coding RNA, 1915 nt
Organism: Scophthalmus maximus (turbot)
Lineage: Eukaryota; Metazoa; Chordata; Actinopteri; Pleuronectiformes; Scophthalmidae
Exons: 3
Source: RefSeq, a predicted model, not a curated record
GACAUAAUAUUUUUCCAACAAUAUUUUAUUUGAUUUAUAUUUAACUUUUGAAGGGCUUGUUUAAGGUGUCAGGAAUUUCGCAACCCCAGUGUGGUGUUAUCAAUUUUUGCGCAAUAUUUCAGCCCAGGUCUGAUGAAUACAGAGAUUCGAUGUCGUCAUUCCUUCGAUCUAAUUGGAUAAUUUGAAUCAACAAUGUUAGACGACCGUGGGGUAUAUUGGCAUCAUUAUUGCAUUAUCAUGCGCAUAGCAGGUGUCUUGAGCUCCAAAAACCCAAAAUGUCAUUCGACAAAGUCGGGGUUGCUCGGUUCUGUACAAAAUCCUGAUCGAAAUUCUUCAGAUCUUCUCGGACCUGAAAGGGAAUUCUGCAGGGAGCGCGAGAGCUACAAUGUGAAAUUGGAUAUUUGGAAGCAGCAGCAGCAGCAGCAGCAGCAACAGCAGCAGCAGGGAGGAAGAGCCAAUACUGAGUGCGCACCGAUGGGUAGCUGUACCCUCUGGUGUGCAGACAUCAAAAGGAGCAACCCGGUCUGACACACACACACACACACACAAACCCGGUGGGGAAGAAGACGUGAAAUGACAAGACUGAAGUUACAAAGAGAUUUUUGUUCGACACAAGAGGGGGAGUUCAUUCAGCUCCAGCGACAGAGCUCCAGCGACAGAGCUCCGUCUCCGCGUUGUGUCGGUGUCCAGGGGCUGAUCGUCCGGACCGGUGCGCUUUACGCGCAUCUUUUCCCGGAAUGUCCAUCCCGCUAACAGAGCUGCCAGGCAGACACACGACUGAAAUGGCCAAGCGGUGUGUGUAGUCUGCGGAUAAACGGAUUUUCCCUUUCUACUCCGGACUAAAUUGACUCGCGAUCCCGGGGUACAGUCAGGCAGAGGGACUGACAGAGUGGCAGGAGAGCAGGGAGAGAGGCUGAUAUGGCACGACCACAUCCUCAUCCCGUCUUUACAUGCUGGAAUAAAAAAAGGACCAGCAUUGAAAGGGCACAGGAAAGCAGGAGCCCAUCAUGGAGAUCAAUCACGUAACACCCAGGCAGUAUCGGCUUGUUAGUAAAUCUUUUGAAGUGUGCCUGGAAGUGUGAGGACAUCUAUUUCCAUACUGUAACUUUAGACAUUUAACAGACGCUUUGCACACUUGUGCACAUUUUUUUGGAAUCACCUUUCCCAGCAUAGGAAAUUAAAAACCCUCAAACCGUCUGAUGAGCGUGGUGCUCUGCUGACUCAUAGAUGAUGAAACCCGCAGCCCUGACGGUAUUAAUGCACAGCUCAUUGAGCAGCAUAUAAGACCACGUCUGUCUCUACUGCGCUGUGGUGAGACGUGUCCCGCGGUAGCAGGACUCUUGGUUCACCUUUUGGAGCUGAGACAACCCAGAGUGUCCUGUCAGCGUCUGACGGGAAAAGCCAAUCCCAGCAGCAGCAGCUUCCAUUGAGCCAGCGAUCACUUCUGAAACGCAACACCAACUCCAAUAGUGCUGAGACCACUCAGGAGAAAAGGCACAAUGUGCUUGUGCUGCUGGGUGUGUGUGUGUGUGUGCGCGCGCGCUCUUAAGUGCAUGCACAUGUCUGAUUACAGUCAGAUGUGUCUUUUGUGUGUCGUUGUGACAAAUUCCCGCAGUCGUGGAGCUAUAAAAACUCUGGGGGCCACACUUCGAUCAGUAUUCUCCUGCGCACUGAUGAGUUAACGGCAGAUUUGCAUUUGUCUGUGGCUGUUAUCUCCGGCCAUCUUCCCGCAGAACGCCCUGACUUUACACAUCUCCGGCACGAACAUUGCUGAUGUCAACAGUCUAUAUUCUGUAAUGAGUGUAAUUAUCCACUUGAAUUAAUAAUUAAUGGGUUGCAAUAUAAGGUCAAAGACGGUUUUAUGCUGUGUGCUGAUAACUGGCUGCCUUUGUUUUAGUCUUUUGUGCAUAAAACA